ACCUUUGCUCACUACGACCAGGUUCUUGACACCACCGCCAUGCUUGGUGCUGUCCCACCAAGGUAUGGAUACACCAGUGGUGAGAUCGGGCUUGAUGUUUACUUCUCCAUGGCCAGAGGAAAUGCCUCUGUUCCCGCUAUGGAAAUGACCAAGUGGUUUGACACCAACUACCAUUACAUCGUCCCUGAGUUGGGCCCUGAGGUCAACUUCACUUACGCUUCCCACAAGGCCGU
This is a non-coding RNA of Camelina sativa (false flax), 233 nucleotides long. The record is from RefSeq and is a predicted model, not a curated record. Lineage: Eukaryota; Viridiplantae; Streptophyta; Magnoliopsida; Brassicales; Brassicaceae.